AAAACUUUCAACAACGGAUCUCUUGGUUCUGGCAUCGAUGAAAAACGCAGCGAAAUGCGAUAAGUAAUGUGAAUUGCAAAAUUCAGUGAAUCAUCGAAUCUUUGAACGCACAUUGCGCCCCUUGGUAUUCCGGGGGGCAUGCCUGUUCGAGCGUCAU
RNAcentral lists this ribosomal RNA (157 nucleotides) under Monilinia yunnanensis. RNAcentral describes it as "Monilia yunnanensis 5.8S ribosomal RNA". It matches the Rfam family "5.8S ribosomal RNA". From Rfam's summary of the family: 5.8S ribosomal RNA (5.8S rRNA) is a component of the large subunit of the eukaryotic ribosome. The record is from RNAcentral. Lineage: Eukaryota; Fungi; Ascomycota; Leotiomycetes; Helotiales; Sclerotiniaceae.